GAUGAACGCUGGCGGCGUGCUUAACACAUGCAAGUCGAACGGGAAUUACUUUAUUGAAACUUCGGUCGAUUUAAUUUAAUUCUAGUGGCGGACGGGUGAGUAACGCGUGGGUAACCUGCCUUAUACAGGGGGAUAACAGUCAGAAAUGGCUGCUAAUACCGCAUAAGCGCACAGAGCUGCAUGGCUCAGUGUGAAAAACUCCGGUGGUAUAAGAUGGACCCGCGUUGGAUUAGCUGGUUGGUGGGGUAACGGCCCACCAAGGCGACGAUCCAUAGCCGGCCUGAGAGGGUGAACGGCCACAUUGGGACUGAGACACGGCCCAGACUCCUACGGGAGGCAGCAGUGGGGAAUAUUGCACAAUGGGGGAAACCCUGAUGCAGCGACGCCGCGUGAAGGAAGAAGUAUCUCGGUAUGUAAACUUCUAUCAGCAGGGAAGAUAGUGACGGUACCUGACUAAGAAGCCCCGGCUAACUACGUGCCAGCAGCCGCGGUAAUACGUAGGGGGCAAGCGUUAUCCGGAUUUACUGGGUGUAAAGGGAGCGUAGACGGUGUGGCAAGUCUGAUGUGAAAGGCAUGGGCUCAACCUGUGGACUGCAUUGGAAACUGUCAUACUUGAGUGCCGGAGGGGUAAGCGGAAUUCCUAGUGUAGCGGUGAAAUGCGUAGAUAUUAGGAGGAACACCAGUGGCGAAGGCGGCUUACUGGACGGUAACUGACGUUGAGGC
RNAcentral lists this ribosomal RNA (723 nucleotides) under uncultured Lachnospiraceae bacterium. RNAcentral's name for it is "bacterial SSU rRNA". It matches the Rfam family "Bacterial small subunit ribosomal RNA", at positions 28 to 752 of the family's 1533-position model. The record is from RNAcentral. Lineage: Bacteria; Bacillati; Bacillota; Clostridia; Lachnospirales; Lachnospiraceae.